ACUGCUCAGUAACACGUGGACAACCUGCCCUUAGGUUGGGUAUAAACCCGGGAAACUGGGUAUAAUACCCGAUAGGUCUCGAUUGCUGGAAUGCAUCGAGAUUUAAAGCUCCGGCGCCUAAGGAUGGGUCUGCGGCCUAUCAGGUAGUAGUGGGUGUAGCGUACCUACUAGCCUACGACGGGUACGGGUUGUGAGAGCAAGAGCCCGGAGAUGGAUUCUGAGACACGAAUCCAGGCCCUACGGGGUGCAGCAGGCGCGAAAACUUUACAAUGCUGGCAACAGCGAUAAGGGAACCUCGAGUGCCAGGUUACAAAUCUGGCUGUCGAGAUGCCUAAAAAGCAUUUCAUAGCAAGGGCCGGGCAAGACCGGUGCCAGCCGCCGCGGUAACACCGGCGGCUCGAGUGGUAACCGUUAUUAUUGGGUCUAAAGGGUCUGUAGCCGGCCGGAUAAGUCUCUUGAGAAAUCUGGCAGCUUAACUGUCAGGCUUUCAGGAGAUACUGUCUGGCUCGAGGCCGGGAGAGGUGAGAGGUACUUCAGGGGUAGGGGUGAAAUCUUUUAAUCCUUGAAGGACCACCGGUGGCGAAGGCGUCUCACCAGAACGGACCUGACGGCAAGGGACGAAAGCUAGGGGCACGAACCGGAUUAGAUACCCGGGUAGUCCUAGCCGUAAACGAUACUCGCUAGGUGUCGGCCACGGUGCGACCGUUGUCGGUGCCGUAGGGAAGCCGUGAAGCGAGCCACCUGGGAAGUACGGCCGCAAGGCUGAAACUUAAAGGAAUUGGCGGGGGAGCAC
Molecule: ribosomal RNA, 793 nt
Filed under: uncultured archaeon
Lineage: Archaea
Description: bacterial SSU rRNA
Rfam family: Archaeal small subunit ribosomal RNA
Source: RNAcentral